UUGUCUUCCAUUUGGAUUUUUUCUUACCAGGCAGUGCCGCCUUUUCCAUAUGGGACAAAUGGGCAAAUGCCCGUGGCGCCCGAAGUGGAGCAGAAGUAAAUGGCGCCCGAGGUCCUUAAAAAAAAUUUAGCUUCACUAAAUUGGCGCCUAUUUUUCCAAUUGCCCGAUGGUGCCCAAAAGCUAAAAGCGACACUGCUUACCAGGCAGUGUAACGUUAAACACUCCGACGACGAAGAAACGGAAUUGUGUUUCUGUGUGUUCGAUGUGGUGUCGUGAUUUUUCUCCGACAAAAUGGUUUGUUUAAAUUUAGUAUUCGGAGGCAAAACAAAGUGUGUUUCGAAACCAAAUAAAUCAAUUCAGGCGAUCAAAGAUCGGUCAGUGUUUGUGAGUGAGUGAAAUUAACAAUUUGUUUGUUUGGAUAAUUUAUUUACGCAUCACCCGACAAACGAAACCCAUCGGAUUAACGGAGCUCCAGCAGCUGUUUCACCAACAAAACUUCAAUUGAAUAAUAGCCCGAAAGGAAAAUAUAGCAUUCCAAGCAACAUGGAUCUCACAAUCGACAACGACCAUCCAGCCGUCGCCAAGUCAUCCACAAAUUUCAUGAACAACAAAAGCCCGGAUUUGGUCCUGGUCGGUAAUACGCUACCAGGAAUAAUUGGUGAACAAUUCCCCCAUGAGCCUCCGUUCAUUUACCAACAAGAAAGUAUCGUUAACGACACAAUAUGUGUUUCAACGAAAGGACAUGGCCGCUUUUUCAUUCCAAUCGAGUUAAUUGAAGCAUUACUAGAAGAAAAAAAAAUGUUGGAAAAUAUCAAAUUGUGGCGGCACCAGGCAUAGCGCCAAUUAAGGACGAAUUGAACGUAGUCGAAGGAAAAAGUCCAUCGGAGGUUGGAUCGAAUCGUAUUAAGUACUAUCUUUGGUACUGGAAAAGUUUCAUUGAUGCAAUUGAGCCAGUUCAAAAAUUUAUACCGGAACACGGAAUACUGACGUUAAUGCCAGGAACAGUCUAUCAGAUUCGUCCAACUUGGCAAACUUUACAUAAAAUAACGCUUGAGCAAAUAAAUGCUGACAUUCAGAUUUGUCGAACACCGAUUUGUCAAUUGGAUGCAAACGACGAAUAAUUAGCCACUAGGUUUGAGGUCGGCGAAACAAUGAAUUACUUGAAAAUGUUUCGUGGAAGCGACAAUACUGGUGGGGGUCGAUUAUAUAUCAUUGACAAUUGUUUGCAAAGAGAUCGAAUCGACGAAGAAGAAAAUUCAAAGCUGGAAAAAUGUUACUAUGUGCAGAAUCCUUGGUCACCAGGAGUACCCGUCCGUCAACCAAGAGCCAAUAGUUCUCAUGGCACUAAAGUAUUUAAGAUUGCCGCUGCCUCAUCGAAUGCGAACGUAAAAAUUAAUUUUCUCGAAAUCGGCGACGAUGAAGACGAAAUCGAUAUACAUUGUUUGUCAAAUGCUCUAAUACGUAUUAUCUUGUUGUCAGUUUUACGAUAAAAGUUGCCUCAGAUUCGUAAGUAAAAUUAAGUAUACGUAGAGGAUAGUAGUCCAAAAUAGUAUUUUUCGUUACGACGGAUGAAAAGUGGAAUUUUUCAGGACUAGUCGUAAGCUUACGACGUGUCCUGAAAAAUUCUGCUUUCAUCACGAGUUACGAACUACGGUUUUUUGUGCCGUAACGAUCAUAAUGAGACGAAACCACAACAACAUAAACAAAGAUAUCACUCUACAAACUCUACAACAAUUUCAUCAACUAUCAUGCACACUCGAUUGCGUCCGAAAAAGUAUAUAUGAAAUUCCAUUGUCAACCGGAGAGAGCGUCCGUGAAAGUUACUUUUACGGCCGCAAAUACGUCUCUCUGAGAAGUACUGAAUAAUUGAACUUUUCGAUCGUAGGUGCAGUGCUGAAAUACGUCGAAUUAUGAUCGUAAGGCACAAAAAAGCACUAUCACUUACUUGGGUCCCCAUUAUGAUUCUCAAAAUAAAAAUUAAAAUGAAUUCUGACGAGAAAUGAAGAUUGACGAGAGGUGUAUAUUUUUAAGUUUCGUGAAACGAAAUUUCGCGAACACAUUUUUUCCAAAAAUGUGCUUUCUCGACGUUUCAGAAGGUCCUCCAUCCGAAUCUGCAAUAAAAAAUUUUGACCGCGAAAUUGCGAAAUUGUUACACAGCAUUCUCUGUUCGUCGCCAUAGUUACGAGGUGGCUGGGCGAUAUUAUCGUCCAGAACGAAA
Bradysia coprophila is the source of this 2218-nucleotide long non-coding RNA. The record is from RefSeq and is a predicted model, not a curated record. Lineage: Eukaryota; Metazoa; Arthropoda; Insecta; Diptera; Sciaridae.